Molecule: non-coding RNA, 322 nt
Organism: Pelobates cultripes (western spadefoot toad)
Lineage: Eukaryota; Metazoa; Chordata; Amphibia; Anura; Pelobatidae
Source: the annotation of a GenBank genome assembly
GUCAUACCAAAACAAAUUGGUUAAACAUCUUCCCUACUGAGUUCAGGACUCUAGGGCACUCUGUUUCUUUGUGUAUCAGAAGAAUCAUAGGCCAAUGUAAUUUUAGAACACAACCAAAGACUUGUCUCUUGACAGGGUCACUAAGCACCAUAGCCACUGUAGCUUAUUGAAGUCAUUAUGAUGCCAAGCUACUAAGUCUUUCAAUUCAAUCAUUUAUUAAACUGACAAGACAGGGUUUUAAAGCAGAGCUCGUAGCUCUGACUUGAAACCCUGUCACUCAGAUUGCAAGGGAAACAUUCUUCCUGGCUUUCACAUCAGUGAG